CCUACGGGAGGCAGCAGUGGGGAAUAUUGCGCAAUGGGCGAAAGCCUGACGCAGCGACGCCGCGUGAGGGAUGAAGGUCUUCGGAUCGUAAACCUCUGUCAGCAGGGAAGAACGGUCACUGUGCUAAUCAGCAGUGAAUUGACGGUACCUGCAAAGGAAGCACCGGCUAACUCCGUGCCAGCAGCCGCGGGAAUACGGAGGGUGCGAGCGUUAAUCGGAAUUACUUGGCGGAAAGCGCUCGUAGGCGGUAUGUCAAGUCAAGGGUGAAAUCCCCGCGCGCAACGGUGGAACUGCCUUUGAAACUGGCAAACUGGAGUGUGUGAGAGGAUAGUGGAAUUCCAGGUGUAGGAGUGAAAUCCGUAGAUAUCUGGAGGAACAUCAGUGGCGAAGGCGACUAUCUGGCACAUAACUGACGCUGAGGAGCGAAAGCGUGGGUAGCAAACAGGAUUAGAUACCCUUGUAGUC
This 465-nucleotide ribosomal RNA is filed under the name uncultured bacterium. RNAcentral describes it as "partial 16S ribosomal RNA". It matches the Rfam family "Bacterial small subunit ribosomal RNA", at positions 338 to 795 of the family's 1533-position model. The record is from RNAcentral.